AGUAAAAUGACUGAAUUUUAAGUGAUAAAUUGUAAAUUUAUUUAUAAGAGUAAUCUUUUUUACUA
RNAcentral lists this transfer RNA (65 nucleotides) under Anisocentropus kawamurai. RNAcentral's name for it is "tRNA-Tyr". The record is from RNAcentral. Lineage: Eukaryota; Metazoa; Arthropoda; Insecta; Trichoptera; Calamoceratidae.